Molecule: transfer RNA, 77 nt
Filed under: Scytonema sp. HK-05
Lineage: Bacteria; Bacillati; Cyanobacteriota; Cyanophyceae; Nostocales; Scytonemataceae
Description: tRNA-Met
Rfam family: tRNA
About the family: Transfer RNA (tRNA) molecules are approximately 80 nucleotides in length. Their secondary structure includes four short double-helical elements and three loops (D, anti-codon, and T loops). Further hydrogen bonds mediate the characteristic L-shaped molecular structure. tRNAs have two regions of fundamental functional importance: the anti-codon, which is responsible for specific mRNA codon recognition, and the 3' end, to which the tRNAs corresponding amino acid is attached (by aminoacyl-tRNA synthetases). tRNAs cope with the degeneracy of the genetic code in two manners: having more than one tRNA (with a specific anti-codon) for a particular amino acid; and 'wobble' base-pairing, i.e. permitting non-standard base-pairing at the 3rd anti-codon position.
Source: RNAcentral
GGCUCAGUAGCUCAGUAGGUUAGAGCACGGGACUCAUAAGCCUGGGGUCGUUGGUUCGAAUCCGACCUGAGCCACCU